GUUUCAGUGGAAAACAAAGAAAUUUUACCAGUAACCCCGACUGUGGCAGUCACUCCUGUAUUAGAUAAUAAUAUAUUGCUUGAUUCUGCUACUGAGACAGUAGAUUCCUAGACAGCAGUGAAUGAAAUGCCUAUAUCAAGUGAACGGGAACGAAGUCCAGUGAGGUCAGCACCAUCAAACAGUCGGCAAUCUCGGGCAAGACAAAGAUCUUCUCUGAAUGAGGAUCGCAACCAAUUUGCUGCCAUAGAACGGCAACGAGUGGAAGCUGAGACUGUG
This 276-nucleotide unclassified non-coding RNA is filed under the name Melitaea cinxia (Glanville fritillary). Its description in RNAcentral is "misc RNA ENSMCXG00005001175.1". Lineage: Eukaryota; Metazoa; Arthropoda; Insecta; Lepidoptera; Nymphalidae. The record is from RNAcentral.